RNAcentral lists this ribosomal RNA (283 nucleotides) under uncultured bacterium. RNAcentral describes it as "partial 16S ribosomal RNA". It matches the Rfam family "Bacterial small subunit ribosomal RNA", at positions 335 to 616 of the family's 1533-position model. The record is from RNAcentral.
AGUUCCACGGGGGGCAGCAGUGAGGAAUAUUGGUCAAUGGGCGAGAGCCUGAACCAGCCAAGUCGCGUGAGGGAGUACUGCCCUAUGGGUUGUAAACCUCUUUUGUCGGGGAGCAAAAGCCGGACGUGUCCGGCUGUGAGAGUACCCGAAGAAAAAGCAUCGGCUAACUCCGUGCCAGCAGCCGCGGUAAUACGGAGGAUGCGAGCGUUAUCCGGAUUUAUUGGGUUUAAAGGGGGAGCAGGCGGAGUUUUAAGUUAGCGGUCAAAUCGUGGGGCUCAACCCC